UGGCGACAUAUAUUUUAAUUAGAGGAGCCUGUCCCUUAAUCGUUAACCCACGAUAUUAUUCACUUAUAUCAAAAACUUAUAUACCGCCAUAAAAGACUUUUUUUUAAAUUACAAUUCAUAAUAAUAUUAUAAAAAAAUAGGUCAAGGUGUAAUUUAAAUUUAAGAGAGGAUGUUUUACAUUAAAAAUCAUUUAAGAAUAUGUAAAUUUAAAUUAAUUUUGAAAAAGAAUUUAAUAUUAAAUUUAUAAUUUAUUUUAUAUUGAAAUAAAUUAAAUAUCUGUACAUAUUGCCCGUCACCCUUAACU
Molecule: ribosomal RNA, 304 nt
Filed under: Uloborus walckenaerius
Lineage: Eukaryota; Metazoa; Arthropoda; Arachnida; Araneae; Uloboridae
Description: partial 12S ribosomal RNA
Source: RNAcentral